This 96-nucleotide transfer RNA is filed under the name Streptomyces alanosinicus. RNAcentral describes it as "tRNA-Ala". The record is from RNAcentral. Lineage: Bacteria; Bacillati; Actinomycetota; Actinomycetes; Kitasatosporales; Streptomycetaceae.
GGAGAGGUGCCCGGAGCGGCUGAUCGGGGACCAGGGCAGCAGCCCAGAGUCGGACCCUAGCGGUCCACGCAGGUUCGAAUCCUGCCCUCUCCGCCA